RNAcentral lists this unclassified non-coding RNA (244 nucleotides) under uncultured fungus. RNAcentral describes it as "partial contains 5.8S ribosomal RNA, internal transcribed spacer 2, and large subunit ribosomal RNA". The stretch from base 1 to 53 matches the Rfam family "5.8S ribosomal RNA", at positions 102 to 154 of the family's 154-position model. The record is from RNAcentral. Lineage: Eukaryota; Fungi.
GAACGCACAUUGCGCCCCUUGGUAUUCCGAGGGGCAUGCCUGUUCGAGCGUCAUUUCAACCCUCAAGCGCAGGCUUGGUCUUGGGCUUCGCCGCUGACGCGGCGGGUCUUAAAAUCAGUGGCGGUGCCGUCGGGCCCUGAGCGUAGUACAUCUCCUCGCUAUAGGACCCCGGCGGAUGCUGGCCAGCAACCCCCAAUCUUCCAUGGUUGACCUCGGAUCAGGUAGGGAUACCCGCUGAACUUAA